GUCAGGUGCGGUGGUGCGCACCUGUAAUCCCAGCAGCUUGGGAGGCUGAGGCAGGAGGAUCACAAAUUCAAAGCCAGACUCAGCAAAAGUGGGGCGCUAAGCAAUUCAGUGAGACCCUGUCUCUA
RNAcentral lists this small RNA (125 nucleotides) under Marmota monax (woodchuck). Lineage: Eukaryota; Metazoa; Chordata; Mammalia; Rodentia; Sciuridae. The record is from RNAcentral.